CUACCCAGUACUAGGGAAUAACAGUUAGAAAUGACUGCUAAUGCCUUAUACGCCCUUCGGGGAAAGAUUUAUCGGUAUUGGAUGAACCCGCGUUUGAUUAGCUAGUUGGUGAGGUAAUGGCUCACCAAGGCUACGAUCAAUAGCUGGUCUGAGAGGAUGAUCAGCCACACUGGGACUGAGACACGGCCCAGACUCCUACGGGAGGCAGCAGUGGGGAAUAUUGGACAAUGGGCGCAAGUGAUCCAGCCAUUCCGCGUGAGUGAUGACGGCCCUAGGGUUGUAAAGCUCUUUCAACGGUGAAGAUAAUGACGGUAACCGUAGAAGAAGCCCCGGCUAACUUCGUGCCAGCAGCCGCGGUAAUACGAAGGGGGCUAGCGUUGUUCGGAAUUACUGGGCGUAAAGCGCACGUAGGCGGAUUGUUAAGUUAGGGGUGAAAUCCCGGGGCUCAACCCCGAGCUGCCUUUAAUACUGGCAAUCUAGAGAUCUAGAGAGGUGAGUGGAAUUCCGAGUGUAGAGGUGAAAUUCGUAGAUAUUCGGAGGAACACCAGUGGCGAAGCUGCUCACUGGCUAGAUACUGACGCUGAGGUGC
RNAcentral lists this ribosomal RNA (589 nucleotides) under uncultured bacterium. Its description in RNAcentral is "bacterial SSU rRNA". It matches the Rfam family "Bacterial small subunit ribosomal RNA", at positions 126 to 754 of the family's 1533-position model. The record is from RNAcentral.